UCAAAUUUUGUGUGCAAAUCUAU
This 23-nucleotide non-coding RNA is filed under the name Arabidopsis thaliana (thale cress). The record is from RNAcentral. Lineage: Eukaryota; Viridiplantae; Streptophyta; Magnoliopsida; Brassicales; Brassicaceae.